This 88-nucleotide transfer RNA is filed under the name bacterium. RNAcentral's name for it is "tRNA-Ser". It matches the Rfam family "tRNA". Rfam says of the family: Transfer RNA (tRNA) molecules are approximately 80 nucleotides in length. Their secondary structure includes four short double-helical elements and three loops (D, anti-codon, and T loops). Further hydrogen bonds mediate the characteristic L-shaped molecular structure. tRNAs have two regions of fundamental functional importance: the anti-codon, which is responsible for specific mRNA codon recognition, and the 3' end, to which the tRNAs corresponding amino acid is attached (by aminoacyl-tRNA synthetases). tRNAs cope with the degeneracy of the genetic code in two manners: having more than one tRNA (with a specific anti-codon) for a particular amino acid; and 'wobble' base-pairing, i.e. permitting non-standard base-pairing at the 3rd anti-codon position. The record is from RNAcentral.
GGAGGGAUCGCAUAGUGGCCGAGUGCAGCAGUUUACUAAACUGCCAUCGCGUUUUACGUGAUCGUGAGUUCGAAUCUCACUCCCUCCG